UUGGGAUAUCAGGGGGACAGCACAGAGAUAGGCUGGGGAUAGGCUGGGUACAGUGUGUGGACAGUGUAAGACAGCUGGGUACAGUGUGUGGACAGUGUUUGGACAACAUGAGGUCACUGUGAGGAAAGUGUGGGGACAGCAUGGGGACA
This is a long non-coding RNA of Lutra lutra (Eurasian river otter), 149 nucleotides long. RefSeq lists it as uncharacterized. The record is from RefSeq and is a predicted model, not a curated record. NCBI's taxonomy places the organism in Eukaryota, Metazoa, Chordata, Mammalia, Carnivora, Mustelidae. The transcript has 3 exons.